UUCCCCCUGCCAUGUUCGUGAUAAACGUGUAAUUUUGAGCCAACAUAUCUAAAAAAGGGAGCCGUCUCUUAUUGCGGCAGGCAUGCCCUCUUGAAGGGACGUCUAAAGCAGUAAUAUGGCACCCACCUAGUUGUAACCAGGUUCAAAAUAAACUGUUUACACGGCAUUACGUGGGGGGCAU
This 181-nucleotide non-coding RNA is filed under the name Deltaproteobacteria bacterium CG2_30_43_15. RNAcentral's name for it is "6S RNA". It matches the Rfam family "6S / SsrS RNA". Rfam says of the family: E. coli 6S RNA was the first non coding RNA to be sequenced, but its function was unknown until recently. It consists of 184 nucleotides that fold into an extended hairpin structure with a large single-stranded internal bulge. The 6S RNA specifically associates with RNA polymerase holoenzyme containing the sigma70 specificity factor. Lineage: Bacteria; Deltaproteobacteria. RNAcentral also lists the same sequence under 4 other names. The record is from RNAcentral.